Molecule: ribosomal RNA, 253 nt
Filed under: uncultured bacterium
Lineage: Bacteria
Description: partial 16S ribosomal RNA
Rfam family: Bacterial small subunit ribosomal RNA
Source: RNAcentral
UACGUAGGGGGCAAGCGUUGUCCGGAUUUAUUGGGCGUAAAGAGCGUGUAGGCGGCUAUACAGGUCCGCUGUGAAAACUCGAGGCUCAACCUCGAGACGUCGGCGGAAACCGUAUGGCUAGAGUCCGGAAGAGGGGAGUGGAAUUCCUGGUGUAGCGGUGAAAUGCGCAGAUAUCAGGAAGAACACCCGUGGCGAAGGCGGCUCUCUGGGACGGUACUGACGCUGAGACGCGAAAGCGUGGGGAGCGAACAGG